Molecule: long non-coding RNA, 1566 nt
Filed under: Apis dorsata (giant honeybee)
Lineage: Eukaryota; Metazoa; Arthropoda; Insecta; Hymenoptera; Apidae
Description: uncharacterized LOC102674374, transcript variant X1
Source: RNAcentral
AAUGAAAACACUGUCUGAAUGUAAAUUGUCAUUGUGAAUAUAGUUAACUGAACAUAUAUAUAUCAAAUGCAAAAAAUAUCAGAAAGUAUUUUUAAAUUUGUUUCUUAUAUUGCUACAACUAUUUUUUUAUUCUAAAACACUUGCCAUAUUACACAUUUUUGUCAUUCGAAUCACAUAACCUCACUAAAUUAAUAUUAUAACAGAAAAUAUUAUCGACACAACUAAAUAGUACAUAUAAUAUCGAUCUAUUCAAUCGAUUACACAAGUGAAACACAAGUAUUGACUUGUUCUCGAUUGAUCUCGAAAAAAAUAAAUGGCGAAACGAUUUUUAGUGAACUUCAUUAAAUUAAUAUUAUAAUAGAAAACAUCAUCGAUACAACUAAUUAGUACGUAUAGUAUCGAUCUAUUUAAUCGAUUACUCGCAAGUAAAAUAAGUACAAGUAUGACUCGUUCUCGAUUGAUCUCGAAAAAAAUAAGUAGCGAAACGGUUUUUAGUGAAUUUUUCGCGAGAAUGCUGUUGGUGUUAUUUGUCAAGCGUGACCGAAGGAAAGAGCAGCGGUUUCGAAUGAGAAAAUUUAUGGGUCGCAAUGUGUCGACGGAAACCUUAAAUUUUAACGUCCCUGUCGCGUACUUGGUUGCGUCCUGCCUUGCCUGUUAAGAACCUUGCGAAGGGGGAUUACGAGUUGACUGCCACGAAGCGAACAUGGAACAUCAAGGGGUGGUUCCACUCUCUCCACGGUGGGGGAGAAUCAGAAGUAUGGUGGUGGUUCUAUGGUAGGGAGAUGUAGACGGUGCCACAGGAAAAGGUGUAGGGAAGAGGCGCACGUUGCUCCUUCUUCCUUCCUGAUGCUUUGCUUGUGUCUCUUCCUGAAUAUUUUUCUUUUUGUAUUGCUCGAAAUAAAUAAAUCGGAUUUAACCGUUUGAGUCAAAGUUUGAACAUAAUAAAUAAAGAGACAAAUCAAUGGGGCUGUCGAGUCGGCGGUCGCUGUUUGAUGUCAAGAAAGAGCUCGACCUGCUCAGAUUCAGCUAUCUCGAUGUCGUCGCCGACAACGGCAUCCUACUGCGAUAACGCCAUUAUGCGAAUUCGAGAUUUGCAUAUUUCAGAAAGUGCUGCACAGGAAAGCAUAAACAACUCUGGUCGCUCUGCGCAACGAGAGCGUUGUGGCUUCCUCGUCAGAAGAGUUACACGCAUGGAAGAUUUACGGAGAAUCCAACGGUUUUCCUUUUCCCUUCCUCCACCUUUUUUUCACUUUUUUCUCCCGUCGUUUUUUUGCUAUCUUUGUUAUUUUUUUUCUCUUUGUUUUUAUUAUUAUUUUUUUUUUUUUAGGAAAUCUCUUCUUACACUUUGUAUUCAGACAUAAAUGCAUGGUGACGCGAAAUGGAAAUUGGUUGAAUACCUUCAGAUGAUCAUUUCGGUAUGGAGAACGAAAGAACCGGUUCAACAAUUUUGUUAAACUGAAACUUGCGGAUUGAAUCCUAAAUAUCCUAAUAUUUGGAUAACCAUCUUUCGACAUAUUAAUUGAUGCAUCUUGAAAUAGGUAGAAGAUUGUUCGUACAUAUGAUUUU